AUUGAACGAUGGCGGCAGGCCUAACACAUGCAAGUCGAGCGAGCGGCGGACGGGUGAGUAAUGUAUGGGGACUGCCCGAUAGAGGGGGAUAACUACUGGAAACGGUAGAUAAUACCGCAUACUAUAGGAUACCCCAUAUGGGAUUAGCUAGUAGGUGAGGUAAUGGAUCACCUAGGCGACGAUCCCGAGCUGGUCUUCGAGGAUGAUAAGCCACACUGUGACGGAGACACGGCCCAGACUCCGACGGAGGCAGCAGGGGGGAAUAUUGCACAAUGGGCGCAAGCCUGAUGCAGCGAUGCCGCGUGUGUGAAGAAGGCCCUAGGGUUGUAAAGUACUUUCAGUCGGGAGGCGUUACCGACAGAAGAAGCACCGGCUAACUCCGUGCCAGCAGCCGCGGUAAUUC
RNAcentral lists this ribosomal RNA (403 nucleotides) under uncultured bacterium. RNAcentral describes it as "partial 16S ribosomal RNA". It matches the Rfam family "Bacterial small subunit ribosomal RNA", at positions 30 to 526 of the family's 1533-position model. The record is from RNAcentral.